GCGCAGGUGGCGGAAUUGGUAUACGCGCACGUUUGAGGGGCGUGUGGCUUUUGCCGUGCGGGUUCAAGUCCCGCCCUGCGCACCA
This 85-nucleotide transfer RNA is filed under the name Candidatus Omnitrophota bacterium. RNAcentral describes it as "Candidatus Omnitrophica bacterium tRNA-Leu". It matches the Rfam family "tRNA". Rfam says of the family: Transfer RNA (tRNA) molecules are approximately 80 nucleotides in length. Their secondary structure includes four short double-helical elements and three loops (D, anti-codon, and T loops). Further hydrogen bonds mediate the characteristic L-shaped molecular structure. tRNAs have two regions of fundamental functional importance: the anti-codon, which is responsible for specific mRNA codon recognition, and the 3' end, to which the tRNAs corresponding amino acid is attached (by aminoacyl-tRNA synthetases). tRNAs cope with the degeneracy of the genetic code in two manners: having more than one tRNA (with a specific anti-codon) for a particular amino acid; and 'wobble' base-pairing, i.e. permitting non-standard base-pairing at the 3rd anti-codon position. Lineage: Bacteria; Pseudomonadati; Candidatus Omnitrophota. The record is from RNAcentral.